GAUUACACACCGAUUCCGAAAUUUAUAAAGGUGCGCGGUAUUUCCCGCGGUUAUUUUUAGCAUCCUUGUCCAUGUGGUACCCGUUUCUGUAUUUACAACUGACAGUCUGUGUACUGAUAACGCAACUUUAGCAGUAAAAAAAAACCCACUCUGUUAUACUAUACUGCGUACACAUGACUUUAAUUUGCAGUGCAGGAUACAACAAGUCUGCAAGUCACUAGAUAUAAAUGGACAGAGGAAAUUAUUGAGGAAAUCAUUGGGGGAAAAACUUAACAAAGGAAAUGUACCUUACUAUAUUAAGGAGGAGAAGUGAAAGAAGCAGGGAAAAUUGGCGGAGUGUAACAUCUAUUAGCAAUAAAAAGAGGAGAUAAAGCAGUAAAUCAUUAUGACUGUGAAAAGAAGAUAUCUGAAUAUGAAAUGAGUUUAUUUCAGUUAAAAAGACUUGCUACAGAAUGUUCCUCUUGUAAUUUUAUUGAAGACCAGACCAUUGUCAACUUUAAGUAAAGGAAGAUAAUAAAACAUUGAAGAGGAAAUGAAGGAAAAGACUUUAUCAUCAAUGAGCAUAACAAAGCAUAAUUCAGAAUAUCUCUUGUGAAGGAAUAAUAUUGUUCAUGUACAGUAAACAACAUACAAUAACGUAUUACAAUUUCAUUUUUUGCAAUUGCUGAAUUUUUAUGCUGUACUUUCAAAACUUUGGUUGCAGUACAGGAGUCUGUUUUCUUUUAAAUAUUAAUAAAACUUCAGAAUUUUAAA
This is a long non-coding RNA of Mytilus trossulus (common blue mussel), 753 nucleotides long. RefSeq lists it as uncharacterized. The transcript has 3 exons. The record is from RefSeq and is a predicted model, not a curated record. Lineage: Eukaryota; Metazoa; Mollusca; Bivalvia; Mytilida; Mytilidae.